RNAcentral lists this ribosomal RNA (388 nucleotides) under uncultured bacterium. RNAcentral's name for it is "bacterial SSU rRNA". It matches the Rfam family "Bacterial small subunit ribosomal RNA", at positions 370 to 772 of the family's 1533-position model. The record is from RNAcentral.
AAUGGGCGAAAGCCUGACCCAGCAACGCCGCGUGAGGGAAGAAGGUUUUCGGAUUGUAAACCUCUGUCGCAGAUGACGAAGGAAGUGACGGUAAUCUGUGAGGAAGCCCCGGCUAACUACGUGCCAGCAGCCGCGGUAAUACGUAGGGGGCGAGCGUUGUCCGGAAUUACUGGGCGUAAAGGGAGCGUAGGCGGUCGAUUAAGUUGGAUGUGAAAUACCCGGGCUUAACUUGGGAAGUGCAUCCAAUACUGGUUGACUAGAGUACAGGAGAGGAGAGCGGAAUUCCUAGUGUAGCGGUGAAAUGCAUAGAUAUUAGGAGGAACAUCGGUGGCGAAGGCGGCUUUCUGGACUGACACUGACGCUGAGGCUCGAAAGCGUGGGGAGCAAA